UAUAACUUCUCAGCAGCCUGAAAGGCCAGGAUUGAUUUGGAUUUCUUAGAUACUCGCACUGAAAUGUGGCGGUGCUGGGGAGAGCCAGCCCCAUUCCCUGGUCGCUCAUUUCCCAGCCUAUAAACUGCCACCUUCCCUUCUCAUCCCCAGCUCCAUCCUGUACCGUGCACACCUCACCUGCAUGUGUGUAGACAUCCCAGGCUGCAGGUCCAAUCUCCAUC
This 221-nucleotide long non-coding RNA is filed under the name Homo sapiens (human). RNAcentral's name for it is "LHRI_LNC613.1". The record is from RNAcentral. Lineage: Eukaryota; Metazoa; Chordata; Mammalia; Primates; Hominidae.